AAAGGAACUGCUUUUCUUUCCGUCCCCAUCUCUUUCUCUCAAGGUAAAGACACAACUGAAGAUGAAGCUUGCUGUGUUUGCUUCCCUGCUGAUGAUUAUACCGUUCCAGGCCAAAGCUAACACAUGUGUCAAUAAAAAAGUGCUAGUCUGGGUGACACAUGGCAAAAAUCUUGGGGAUGGACUUCAAAGCCCAGAUCCCUAUGUUGUGGUGAAAAUCAACAGUUACACACAAAAAUCCAGAGUCAUUGAUUCAAGUUCCAACCCAGAGUGGUGGGAGGAGUUACAAUUUCCAGAGGCCACCAACAAAAUCAUUGAAAUCGAGGUCUGGGACAAAAAGAAGUUCACUCCUGAUGACAAGUUAGGGGCAUGCACAGAGCAACUGUUACAUGAAGGUCAAAGUCAUGUCACCAUUAGGUGCAGAAUGAACAACAAUACAGGUGUUGUCAACAUCCUUUACAACUGUAACUAAAAGUAACCUGCUCUUGAAAAUGAAAGGAUUUGAGGUGAAGAAAAUUCUCUGUCUUUGAAAUGUUUGGUGGUGGAAAAACAGAACUUUGUGUUAAAUACUGAUGGUUCUUUUCCCACUAUAUUGUUCUUUGCUUGUUUCAAAAUUGACGUUUGCUGUUAUGAAACUAUAUUUAUAAAGGCCACAGUGUGCAAAUAGCUAAUAUUGUCUACCUGUGACUUUUUGGUCAUUAGACAGUUGAAAAAUAAACACGAUUCAUCACCAUUAUUUGUGAAAUUGAAACUUGUGUUUAAAAAAAUUGCUGUUUUUCCUCUGUUCUGUUGGCUUUAAGAAACUGCACCUGCUCUGUAUCUUUUCUGCACAACUAUAAUAACCUUUCACUUAAAGAUAUAAUUCUGUUUCAAAUGAAAAGGUGAAUGAAUAAAAUCGGAAGAUAAUA
Molecule: long non-coding RNA, 905 nt
Organism: Epinephelus lanceolatus (giant grouper)
Lineage: Eukaryota; Metazoa; Chordata; Actinopteri; Perciformes; Serranidae
Source: RefSeq, a predicted model, not a curated record